GAUCAAUCAAAGUACGUAUUACACACGACAUGUGCACAAGGAAUUGAGAGAUAGUAAACAGGUUCUGCAAUAAAGACCAUCUCUAUCAGACAGUUUCUUGCUACAGUAUGUUAGGCUGUUCAUUGUUGACCGUUGAAUAAUUCAACACGCAAGUCUUCUAAUUUUCUUGGAAAAUCUCACUGUCUAUAUUUCCUCUCCAGCACCAUCAAACAGUGCUUCCACGCUGCCAGUCGUCCUGCAACUGCAAUCCUGGUUCAAUUUAACAGAUGCAAGGAAACCACAACACAAAUGGCAGCGGUGAGUACCUCUUUGGCUGUCCACCUCCAGCCUCUCUUCCUGCUCGUCGCCACCAGCGACAGCACAACCAUAGACAUCACCAACCAAUCCUCCUACACCGUGUGGCCGGCCGCUGCGCCAAUAGGCGGCGGUCUGAAGCUCGCUCCGGAGGAAACGUGGACACUGCACAUGCCUGCCGGCACCGUUGGGCAGCGCAUUUGGCCCCGCACAGGCUGCUCAUUUGAUCGCAAAGGCAACGGCUCGUGCCAGACGGGGGACUGUGAUGGCUUGAUCGCCUGCAAGGCCAAUGGUCAGCCGCCGAGCACGCUGGCUGAGUUUAGCCAAAUCCAAACAAAGGAUUUCUUCGACAUCUCCCUUGUUGACGGCUUCAAUGUGCCCAUGGCCUUCCUGCCGAUGCCAACCAAGGGAGUGACAGGGUGCAGCAAGGGACCACGCUGUGCAGCCAACAUCAGGUCGCGGUGCCCAAGCGAGCUUCAGACCCCAGGGGGUUGCAACAACGCAUGCACGGUGUUCAAGCAGGACAAAUACUGCUGCACCGGAACGAACUCAAGCAAUUGCAAAUCGACUAGCUACUCGACUAUCUUCAAGCAGAUGUGCCCAGACGCGUUCAGCUACCCCUUGGAUUCCUCAGGCACUUUUGCUUGCCCGACGGGCACCAGCUACCAGGUCAUAUUCUGUCCCCUAAUCAAUCAAACAAUUGCCCCUGCAGCUCCCAGUCCUCUGCCAAUAUCCCGAGUCGAGAGAGCACCUCUGUCUCCAAGUCCCCUGCCUGUACCUGGUGGGCCGACACGCAUGAACUUGAAAUCCUCCUCUGUAAAAAGAGUUGUUGGAAUUCUAGCGUCUAUAGGCAGCUUCAUUUUGCUAACCAUGUUAUUCACCAGCAUUUUCUUCAUAUGUAAAUGAAGAACACGACGACGCCAGGAGAGAAACGAAGAAGACGACUUUGGUGAGCUACAAGGAACGCCAAUGAGGUUCACAUUUCAACAGUUAGAAGUAGCAACCCAGCAGUUCACAGAAAAAAUUGGAGAAGGAGGAUUUGGAUCUGUUUUCAAGGGAAAGUUUGGUGAGGAAAAAAUUGCAGUAAAACGUUUGGAUCAAGCGGGCCAGGGGAAAAGUGAAUUUUUGGCAGAGGUUCAGACAAUUGGCAGCAUUCACCAUAUUAAUCUGGUGAGAUUGAUUGGUUUCUGUGCAGAGAAAUCCCAUAGGCUCUUGGUAUAUGAGUAUAUGCCCAACGGAUCCUUGGACAGAUGGAUCUAUCGUCGACAUGACAAUAAUACUACUCCCCUGGAUUGGGGCACACGAUGCAAGAUCAUUACUCACAUAGCCAAGGGCCUCUCUUAUCUUCACGAGGAGUGCACGAAAAGAAUUGCCCAUUUGGAUGUUAAACCACAAAAUAUCCUCUUAGAUGACAACUUUAAUGCUAAACUUUCUGAUUUUGGCCUAUGCAAGCUUAUUGACAGGGAUAUGAGCCAAGUGGUCACUAGAAUGAGAGGCACACCUGGAUAUUUAGCUCCUGAAUGGUUGACAUCACAAAUCACGGAAAAGGCCGAUGUCUACAGCUUUGGUGUUGUGGUCAUGGAAAUCAUGAGCGGAAGAAAGAACCUCGACACCUCCCGAUCGGAAGAGAGCAUCCAUCUCAUUAGCCUAUUGGAGGAAAAGGUGAAGAGCGAUCGAUUGGUAGAUUUGAUUGACAAUAACAGCAACGAAAUGCAAGCACAGAAGCAAGAUGUAAUUCAGAUGAUGAAGCUCGCCAUGUGGUGUUUGCAGAUUGACUGCAAAAGACGGCCUAAAAUGUCUGAGGUAGUAAAAGUCUUGGAAGGUACCAUGAAUGCAGACAGCAAUGUAGAUCAUAACUUUGUUGCAACUAACCAAGCAAAUUUCGGUAUUGCUGGAAAUGUAAAUUGCUCUUCUCCACCUCUAGCCUCAGAUGUAUCAGGCCCCAGUUUUGAACCCCCUGUCCCGUUCCAACAUCUGAUGAGGAAGCCCAGGAAGGUUACGCACGUCAACCGUCUUGCGCAGCAACCAUGUUGCAACACCAUGGCGAUUGACCUUCCUCUGCCACAUUUGGAAGCUAGGGUCCCGGUCCUCUGUUGUUCCCCAGUCCAGAUGAGCGAGGAGGGCGGCGAAAUGGCCCGCCGCGGCGGCGCCCUGCCGGACGACGACAAUCUCCUCCGGGAGAUCUUCCUCCGCCUCCCUCCGCAGCCAUCCUCUCUGCCGCGCGCCUCCGCCGUCUGCAAGCGGUGGCGACUGCUCGUCACCGACCCCAAGUUCCUCCAGUGCUUCCGCGCCCGCCACGGGAAGCCGCCCCUCCUCGGCGUCUUCUCGUACCUUGACAAGCCCGUCUUCUCCCCCAUCCUGGACCCACCCGACCGGAUCUCCCCCGAGCGUUUCUCCCUUAGCAGCUGCAGCUGCGCCCUCCGCAACCGCAACCACGUCCUCGGGUGCCGCCACGGCCGCGUCCUCCUCAGAUGCCCAAUGCUGAAUGAGUUCGUCGUGUGCGACCCCAUCUCCAGCGAGGAGCGCCGCGUGGCCGCUCCACCGGAGUUCGAGGGGUUGGUUCUCAACGGGGCGGUGGUCUGUGCCGCCGGCGACGAGGGCCAUGUACACGGUGACUGCCACUCGAGCCACUUUAAGGUGGUCCUGGUGUCCAUGCACGGAUACGAUCAUCAGUAUGAUGAUGAUCAACCGGUCGCUUGCGUUUAUUCUUCGGAGACUGGCAUGUGGGGCGAUCUCAUCUCAACAACAGAAUCAUGUCAGCUUUAUGAUCCUGGCUCUCCUGCUACCCUUGUUGGUAAUGCCCUUUAUUGGUUGCAGUUCAACAGUGGUGACCCUGGUAUACUUGAGUUUGAUUUGGAUGUGCAGAGCCUAUCUUUGAUCACGGAGCCUGACAUUGGAAAUGAUUUUUACUAUGGUAGCCGCCAAAUAAUCCAGGUUGAGGAUGGCGAUAUUGGCUUGGUCAUAUUUUAUUACCAUAGCAUCAAAAUUUGGCAUAGGAAGGUCAAUUGCCAUGGUGUUGCCACCUGGUUGGUGCACAAGACUGUUGACAUGCAUAGUAUUCUUGGGCUUCCUCCUCAGCUUGAUGAAUGGGACAUUGGAACUAUAAUGGGAUAUGCUGAGGAUAGCGAUGCCAUUUUUAUAUGUGUUGACUCCAAUGUCUACAUGGUUCAACUUAAGUCAAUGCAAUCGAAGAGACUUCAUGAUAUGGUUGACCAUCAAUUGGAUAUUGCUGACAAUGAUUGGCUAACUACCAUCCUUUUACAAGUUUUUAUACACCAGCUGUCUUCAUUCUUGGGCGUCAAAUUAACAAACCAUUGUAAAAUCAUAUGUCAAAUGAGAAACUCAGUUAACCUGUUUUGAAAAUCAGAUGUCAAAGGUAGUUAUAUUCUUUUAUCAGGCAUAGCCAAUGCUGCUAGAUGUGAUGGAGCUGAAAUGUUGGAUGAUGCAUAGGAUGUCUGUCUGGUUUGAUUUGCUAAUGUGCUGAAAUGGUUCGACUGGUGAAGGAAAGGCUCCGGGAGUUCUCUUUGAGUUUGUCAUAUUUCAUCAAUUUGGUCGGGACUCAGCAGUGUUUAUAUGUUAUCUGGAAAAAGAGACUUGCUAAGUGUGUACCUUAGUUUAGCUAAGUUUCUUAUGUAUCAGAAUGUACUUGAAUAUCUAAACAAGGGAGUUAUAACUUCCCCUAGUAAUAUUUCAAGUUGCUUGCCGCCGUAUC
RNA transcript from Brachypodium distachyon (stiff brome), 4006 nucleotides. RefSeq lists it as uncharacterized. The record is from RefSeq and is a predicted model, not a curated record. The transcript has 6 exons. NCBI's taxonomy places the organism in Eukaryota, Viridiplantae, Streptophyta, Magnoliopsida, Poales, Poaceae.